GCUGCACCUGUGGCAUAUGGAAAUUUCCAGGCUAGGGGUCAUAGGGGUUGAAUUGGAGCUGCAGCUGAGGCCUAUGCCACAACCACAGCAACACUGGAUCCAAGCCACAUCUGCAAACUACUCUGCAGCUUACAGCAACCUGGAUCCUUAACCCAAUGGGUGAGGCCAGGAAUUGAACUUGCAUCCUCACAGAGACAGUGUCAGGUUCUUAACCUGCUGCGCCACAACAGGAACUCCAGAAAUUUAAGUUAACCAGAGUUUUUCUCUUAAGUACUCCCUCCUUGCUUGGCUUCUGAUGUGGCGAAGUGACAGCUGAUGCAUAGGAAACCAUAAGAUUUGAUUAGCUGGUAAAGGUGGAUGAUGAACAUCCAAGGUAGCUACAAAUAUCUAAUGAUUCUAGUACACUGUGAUCUGUUAAUGUCCAUUGAAUUUCUCUCCAGCACCACUCAUCAACUUUGCUUUUUGUGGUCAGUUUUGUAGGGGAAAAUGCCAAGCAAAGAUCUAUAGUUCUGUUUACCUGGGGUUCCUAAUUUGCAGGUAGACUUGGCUUUGGAAAAGAGUCCCCAAGAGACUAUGACCAGUACAGGUGAAGCUUGCAGUUCUAGACAGGGCUGCUGUAUGUCUGCAUGUGGAUAGUGAAGUUUCUAUUGUAGAUCAUACCAUUUUUGAUAAGAAGAAGCCGAUGCCUUACAUCCUGUAGAUGGUUUGUUUCUAAGGUCAGAUCUGAGGCUGUGAGCCAGUGGUAGAAGCCACGGCCUGUAUUCAAGCUAACGUGCUUGCACUGGCUUCCAGCCAACACCGCCAUGCUCUUGAUAUUUUUUUAUGCCAUAUCCUUUCUAGGAAAUGUUGGGUGUUCCAGAGUGAUCUGGAUCACUGAGAAGACAUUGAACCAUCCUAGUCAAGAUACACAUGAAAUGACAUUUUAGAAAAUCAGACAUUAAAAAGGAGAACUUGAUAAAUCAUCUAAUUCACGACCAAGACUGCAGCAAAAACACCCAAGCUGAUAAGUUGUUGUUGACUGUCUCUGUCACUACAUGUGUGCCUCUGAACACCCUCCCUUACAAUUUUCAGCUUUAUUCUAGAAAGAAGAAACCCUGCUUGAAUUGUAUUUAAAAUAAGAACUGUGAGCUUGUAAAUGAUAUUCUGAGGGAUUCAUCUAAGAGAAAAACCCAUGGAGGAGCUUGGAGGAUCAUUUGACAUGCUCAUACCUUCUGCCCUUUGGACUUGUUUAGUCGUAAUUAUUCUAGCUAAGUUAAAGUUACUGUAUUUGGAGCCCUUGUAGAUAUAGGUUAACAUUUAUUACUCAGCUGAAACUGUCAUUAACAGUUAGUCCUGGAAUCUCAGUGUUUGAGCCCAAGGAAGGUGUAUCUCUUGUUUGGGCAGGGUCCACUGAGUGUCCACAAAAUCCCCCAGGACAGUGGUCCUCCAGAUAGUAAUUUGGUGGUGCAGGCAGAUGGGGGCACCAUUUUUAUUUUUUUAUUUUUAAAAUUGUUUUUAUUAAAAUAUAGUUUAUUUACAAUGUUCCUUCUGUUUCUGCUGGAUAGCAUAGUGACCCAGGCAUACAUAUAUAGACAUUAUUUUUCUCGUAUUAUCUUUCAUCAUGUUCUGUCACAAGUGAUUGGAUAUAAUUCCCUGUGCUAUGCAGUGGAACCUCAUUGUUUAUCCAUUCUAAAUGUAAUAGUUUGCAUCUACCAACCUCAAACUCCCAGUUCAUCCCACUCCCUCCCCCUUGGCAACCACAAGUCUGUUCUCCAGGUCUGUGAGUCUGUUUCUAUUCUAUAGAUAGGUUCAUCUGUGUCAUAUUUUAGAUUCUGGAUAUAAGUGAUAUCAUAUGCUCUUUCUCUUUCUUUACUUCACUUAGUAUGAGAAUCUCUAGUUGUAUCCAUGUUGCUGCAAAUGGCAUUAUUUUGUUCUUUUUUAUGGCUGAAUAGUAUUUUAUUGUAUAUAUGUAUCACACCUUCUUAAUCCAUUCAUCUGUCAUUGGACAUUUAGGCUGUUUCCAUGUCUUGGCUAUUGUGGAGAGUACUGCAGUGAACAUAGGGGUGCAUGUAUUUUUUUUUCAAUGAAUACUUUGUCUGGAUAUAUGCCCAGGAGUAUGAUUUCUGGAUCAUAUGGUAAUUCUACAUUUAGUUUCCUGAGGAACCUCCACACUGUCUUCCAUAGUGCUUGUACCAAUUUACAUUUCCGACAACAGUGUAGGUGGGUUCCCUUCUCUCCAUACCUUCUGCAGCAUUUAUUAUUUGUAGAGUUAUUAAUGAUGGCUCUUCUGAGAGGCGUGAGGUGGAGGGCACCACUUUUAGCUGCAGCAUCAGGAACCAGCAGCCUCCUGGUUCAAGAGGCAGAGGAAGAAAAACACACACAGACUUUUCACUUCUUCACACACAUCUCUGUCCCUUGGCCAGAACCAUUCAAACACUUCCACCCACAGCAAAGGGGCAGGGAUGUUUUACCCUUCCUGUGCUUCUGGAACCAGAUUCAGGUGAGGGCUAGAAAUCACUAUAAUCAUAACCCCAAAGUAAGAUUUUUAAUUCACUCUGGAAAACAGUUUAGCUUUCAUCUUGUAAUUCCUACAUUGCCACAAAGGAAGCAAGAAACGGCACUACAUUUCCUUUUGUUUGUGAUAAACAGGACAGUGGCAGGUGCUUCCAGGUCCGGAUUUAUUGGUUCAGCCAGAGCUACUGCAAUGCUGCAUCCUUCCAGAACACUCAGCAUCUCAGCAGGCCUUCUGAAGAAUCCCAACUGGCUCCCACGCUGAAAGGAAGAAAAGGGAAAAGUAACAUCCCAGCUAGCUCUGGUUGAAAUGGAAAUCUGCUCAAACUGAAAAUAGAACUCUCCUGGGGGUUGUCUUUUAAAAAGAACGGCAGGGCCCGGUAGCUCUGGGUGACAUAUGUUGAAUCAUUUGAAUUUUCUUCCUCUCUGCACAGCUUAGUCAGAAAGUAAAGGGGUUUGGAGCAGUAAAAAAAUAACAGAGAAAAUGGAACUUUAACUCAAAAAGACAGCUCAGGAAUUUCUCCCAAACCAGGGCAGCUAUGGUAUUUGUCAGCCCAGGCUACUUUCCUCUCUCCCUGUCUUGGUCCCGGAAUAUCAUUUUCUAAAACUCUAUUAAAUGACAAUCCUAUAAUAUCCAACGCUAUUAUUGUCCCCCAUCCCUCCUGCUUCAUCUGAGUAUCCUCUCUGGAAAUGCGGAUCUAGUGUUUGCUAUUUGCUUUUUCUAUCUAUAGGACAUUCAAGGUCCUUUUUCAAAGCUCUUAGCUCCCCAAGGCUUUCUCUGCAUGUGCUCUGUGCUGUGCAAUUAUCACUUUGUAAAAUACCAUCCUUUUCUCUAGUAGCUCCUCUAUGUGGCUGAGAACUUAAUCACACAUGGGGCUCGUUCAAUAAGUGUUGCCAAGUCUGUUAAGUCAUGUCUUCCUGGAGAGGUCAAUUGGUCCUUGACACACCGUUUCUCUUUCAGACUCAAGAAUCCCAAGUUGACGUUGCAGUUUCUGUGCUCAAUAGCUGUUUGUUGGUUGGUUGCAUAAUGGUACCCCACCCAUUCCAACUGGGGGUAACAUGGCGUUUCUGAGGCAUGUGUGUUAUACAUGAGGGUGCUUUCUGGUAAUCAGUGAUGGUGUGGUCCCAUCUAUUCCCUUCCAAAUGGCUGCUGAGGCUGAGUCCACAUGGGAGGCCAGGGGCAAAGCAUGCAUUGUGCUGUUCUUUUCCCUCGUUGUGUGGGGACCUCACUGCAUAUCUAUCUCUGGGGCAUUGAAGAGGUCUGGAGAAUGGAUCACCAUUCCCAUUUUUUCAGUCCGUCUUAAAAUAUAGUUAUACUUCCAUGUUCCUUUGCCACAUGAUCUUUCCUCCCAUAAGAAUAGGCAGAAUACCCAUCCCUGUCCUGUUCAUUUUAGGUUCAUAUGACUUGCUUUGGCCAGUAAAGCAUCAGCAGAAACACCAUGGGGCAGAAGGCUUCAAUAUCUUUUGUAGUUAGUUUAGCCUCUUGUGAAGAACUUGUCUGUGGUGUUUAUCUGGUCUCAACAUUAGGAAAACAGGUGGAACAGACAUGAAUGUGUUCUGAAGCUAAUUGUCCAACCUAACCCACUUGAAGCAGCUGAUCCCAAUCUGGAUUUACCAGAACACAGCUGAGCUUAGAGAAGCAUAAGAGAGCACCUUCUUUUAAGCCUCUGAGAUUUGGGGGCGGUUGUUAUAAAGCUUGACCACAGUAAAAAUCUAAGAGAGGGAGAAGCUGGGUGGUGACACAUCUGAGUUCUGAGGUCCUCGCAGAGAACUGGUUGCUGGAUGGGGGAAGGCAUAGAGAAGACGCUGGAAGAAGGCCGUGUCCUCGCUACAAAGACCCCAGACAGUAAGAGAACAUGGUCUCCUGAGAAUGACCAGGUGGGAUGGCUGCCCUUUGACAUUGACUCUUCAAGUGAUACAUCUUCCCUGUUUGCACAUGACCUAAGAAUACAGUGUAAUUGUUCAUAGAAUGUGUUUUAGAGUCCAACUCUCUGGGUUCUCUCCUUGGCUCUUCCACUUAGCUGGCACUGGAAUGUUCUUUGGCCUCUUUUUGUCUCAGUUUUAUCUGGGAAAUGACUAGGAAUAGCAUCUACCUCAUAAAAUCAGUGUGAAGAUUGAAUGUUUUCAUUUGUAUCAAGUGCCUAGAAUAGGACCAGGAAAUUAGUUACAUCCUCAGUGGAGUAUUUAGCUAUCAUUAUCGUUAUUAUU
This 4698-nucleotide long non-coding RNA is filed under the name Sus scrofa (pig). RNAcentral's name for it is "lncRNA (ENSSSCG00025058468.1)". The record is from RNAcentral. Lineage: Eukaryota; Metazoa; Chordata; Mammalia; Artiodactyla; Suidae.